UGCCAGACUCCUACGGGAGGCAGCAGUGGGGAAUAUUGCACAGUGGGGGAAACCCUGAUGCAGCGACGCCGCGUGAGUGAAGAAGUAUUUCGGUAUGUAAAGCUCUAUCAGCAGGGAAGAAAAUGACGGUACCUGAUUAAGAAGCCCCGGCUAACUACGUGCCAGCAGCCGCGGUAAUACGUAGGGGGCAAGCGUUAUCCGGAUUUACUGGGUGUAAAGGGAGCGUAGACGGCAGCGCAAGUCUGAAGUGAAAUGCCGGGGCUUAACCCCGGAACUGCUUUGGAAACUGUGCAGCUAGAGUGCAGGAGAGGUAAGUGGAAUUCCUAGUGUAGCGGUGAAAUGCGUAGAUAUUAGGAGGAACACCAGUGGCGAAGGCGGCUUACUGGACUGUAACUGACGUUGAGGCUCGAAAGCGUGGGGAGCAAACAGGAUUAGAUACCCUGGUAUAC
This 449-nucleotide ribosomal RNA is filed under the name uncultured bacterium. RNAcentral's name for it is "bacterial SSU rRNA". It matches the Rfam family "Bacterial small subunit ribosomal RNA", at positions 329 to 795 of the family's 1533-position model. The record is from RNAcentral.